CCGUUAACCUUUCGAAAAUGCUCGUUUUACGUCCGAUCGUUCUGAAAUUCCGACUGUAGCAUGUAGACAUUCUAAGCCAAUCACAUGGGGAGUUUUAGCUCCGAACUAUCAAACGUGACCUUAACAGCCCCUUCCGAAAAUUAGUUCCAUACGAUUUCAACGUGUGAAGAUGGCAUCCGAUGCGAAGCGUCAGAAAUACAGCGUAGCCGAGGCUUCAGAGAUGAUUUUUGACGAUGGAAGUGAGCAUGGUGGUAUGUCUAGUGGUGAGGAGUCCGAAUUAGACAGAAAACUGGAAAAUCUUAGCGAAGAAUCGAGUGAAUCGGAAGGAGACGUGGGAGAGGUUAGGGAGCAUGAAGAAGAUCCUGAUUGGAUUGAAGGAGAAGUUUCAGAGGUUAGUGAGAUUGAGAGUGAGGGUGAGAUGGAGAGUGAAGACACUGAUGUUGGUGUUUCUGUUGAUCCAGUGCCUUCCACAUCCCAUGCCACAGGUAAGUUUUACAAGCCUGCAAGGUCACGUUGUCCUCUCAGGGCUAAAAGGGAACCUGCCAGACGAGGUACCCAUGGUGUUCGAGGUGCUAGAGUUUGUGCUUUAGUAGCUCGAGGUUCUACAAGUGAUCGUGGUGGUAGUAGAGCCACAAAACGUGCACCCCCAACCCCAGAGGACCCUUCCUCAGAGGAUACUUAUAAAUCAUAUCAUGAUGAGGAUGAGGGAAAUCCCUGUGAUCAGUUUCCACCCCCUCCCUUUACACCUGCACGUCCUCUUGGGAUACAAUUCGAACAGCCUUUGCUCAGGGGUAGGAUGAAUACUGCUGUUGAGUUUUUUAAAUUAUUUUUUACUAAAGAACUGGUGAAUAAUAUUGUUGAGCACACCAACAGCUAUGCUGUUCAACACAUUACUGAGGGUACCCAUAGGAGUUAUGCUCAAGCAGAUGGAUCAUGGAAAGACACAACACCAGAGGAGAUAUACCGGUUGAUAGCCCUUCUGAUCUAUUUUGGUUUAGUGAAAAUAGGUAUUACUAUAAACAGGUAUUGGAGUACCAAGACCCUCUACCAUGGUUUAUGGGCAAGAUCCAUCAUGCCCAGAAUACGAUUUCAAGGGCUCAUGGCCUUCUUGCAUGUUGUAGAUCCUGCAUCUGAGACCCCCAGUAACAAGUUACGUAAAGUAGAGUCCCUUGUUAACUAUUUUAAAUCUAGAUGUGUUGCUUUGUAUCAGCCCAGAAAACAUGUGGCCAUCGAUGAGCGAAUGGUCAGGUCUCGUCACAGGUCUGGCAUCAGGCAGUACACGAAGGACAAACCAACUAAGUGGGGAAUAAAACUGUGGGUACUCGCUGAUAGUUCUAAUGGUUAUACUGUAGACUUCAACAUUUACAUUGGAAAAGAUGCUGCAAGAGGGAUUAGUGAGUUUGGGCUUGGGCAUGAUGUUGUGGUAAGACUUAUUAGUCCCUACUAUGAUCAAGGUUAUCACUUGUUUAUUGACAAUUUUUAUACUUCAGUUCAUCUCAUGAAGCAUUUAUUUCAGCAUGGAGUCAUUGCUACAGGUACCAUUUUGGAUACCAGGAAAGAUUUCCCAGCAAAUCUCAAGAAAGGAAGCAAAUGGGGAAAGGGCAAAGCCAGGGGUAGUAUGCGGUGGCAGAGGGAUCCGCCCUGCUUAGUCUUGCAGUGGGUUGACAAUAAAGUAGUAUCUAUGAUCAGUACUUCUGGUAAUGCUAAUGACUCUGUUCAGAUAAAUCGUAAAAUAAAAUCUGGUGGUGUGUGGAGCUCAUUAGAGGUACCUCAGCCUCAGGUCUUUGCAAUGUACAAUCAGUAUAUGAAUGCAGUGGAUCGAUCUGACCAGAUUCUGGCCACCCACAAUGUGCAACGCAAAUGUAUGAGGUGGUGGAAGACCUUAAUUUUUCACCUUAUUGACAUUGGUGUUGUCAACAGUUUUAUUCUUUUCAGAGAGCACCAGAGGAACAAUCCAGAUAAUCCUGCCCUCAGAAGGACUUCAGAGUAUUCGCUGGGUGACUUCAGGGAGGAGCUUAUCCGUGGAAUUUGUGGUUUUCUUGAUUAUGACAACCCUCCUGUGUCCACUGCAGGCAGACCCCCAAGACCAGCUCCCCAAACCAGCCAAUUUGUGACAGAGCACAUUCCACUUCAGGCUGUGGGGCCUGCCUAGAGUUGGCAAGGGUGAGAUGAGGGUGCCCCACACCAUUUUUAUUACCAGCAUUUUCUUGAAGAGAUUCUCUGGAUGUCUUUACCAUAAGAUAGGGAAUAUUUCAUCUUGAAUUGUUUCCUUGUAAAUCCAUUCCAUUCAGGCCAAGGCUGUUUUAAAGUCAAAAGUUGCAUGAUAAUUCAUGCAAACUUUAUGCCAUUUUCUUAGCAUGAUUUAAAAUACAUGGAUUUUUGAAGGAAAAAUAUUUUUUUCCGCAAAGCUUAUUUCAUCCUCUUUCACAUGAGAUACAGAACUACUCACUAGUGCAAAUGCUGUUGACAAAACAAAAGAAAAAAGGUUGUUGUCUUUUGUCAUUUUUUGGGAUGUUGGGAAUUUAAUUUUAAUUGUUUUAGUGUAGUAUUAAGUGUUUUUGUAAAGGGUAGUUAUUCAUGAAUAAAUAUAGGCAUGCCUAUUAUCAUUUUAUAUUUCCAAAUCCUAAUGAUACCUGUUUGACAGGAAAAUUAUGUUUCAAAAGAAAAAAACAUACAACUCAUGGCUUUCAUCUUACUUGAUGUUUAAAGUAAUUUAAGAUUUUGAUGGACUGUAAUGAAAUCUGUAUUUUGCACUGAAACUUUGUAAAUUUCUUAAAUUUAACAACAUUGAUUCCAUAUAGUUUUUCAUCAUCUGUCACUUUAUAUGAGCACAGAAAGUCAGCUUUAGCAAUAGCUUAAUGCAUGUGAUUACUGCAAUAUCCAUAAUGAAAUUUGCUUAAAAAAACAAUACAUAGAUACUUUCAGGCUUUGCUAGAAUUACUCCCCACCUCUCCCCCCCUCCUCCAUCCUUCUCCCAUUAAAAAAUGGUUAUAUCAUUAUCUGUUACUCAGGCAUUAGUAGACCAAUAUAUGAUAUAUAAAUGUUAUUAAAUUAUCAAGUGGUAUGAAAUACUUGAGAUCUUCUUAUCAGUGUUACUUUGAGACAACAAUAUUGUUAAAAUGAAAGUUAGCAAAAUAUGUCUAUACAAAGUCUGUUAAUAUUUACUGGUUACAAUAAGUGAUAACAUAUAUGUAUUGGAGCCCUAAUUAUUGUGCAGUUAUUGUAAAGGUUUUUCACAAGGAUCAAUGGUUGUACUGUAUUUAGCUCAAUACUCAAUCUCUCAAAAUGCGUUGAUCACAAUUUUACCUGGUAAUUUCACCUCAAACCCCUUGAGUUUGUGCCAUUGUAUUUGGUUGGGAAAUACAUUCCCGAUUUUUACCACUGGGUGUUUCUUUGGUUUUCAUAUCAGGCAGCACAUAAAGUAAGUCCUGCAUUAGCAGUCUGUUAAUUAUUUUUAUUACAAUGUAGUCUGAUUACAUAUGCAACAGCAACCGCAUAUUAUUUUAGUAAGUUUUUGGCUAUCACUAGAAAUGAAGGGUUUUAGAACCAAUGUACUUAUUUCAUUAGCUCUCAUUCAUGACCUAUGAACUGUGUAACUUUUGAUUGAUGUUCUACUUUAAAGUUGUUUUGUUUAACCUCAAAAAAGUUUGAAUUGUGUUGUUUCAGCAGAUAUUGAUAUUGACUGCAACUGGAAAAAUAUCGUUUGCUCAACUGUCGCAUGUAUCGAUAAUCUAACUAACUCCAGAUCCUUGCCCUUGGUUUUCAUUCUUGCACUGUGUAUUAGGAUACAUGUAUACACUAUUCACAACUUGGCUGCCAUAGGAAGGCUGCAAUAUUUCCUGAAACAGCACAUGUCAAUAUUCCUUAACUUUAGGAAAUUUGUAAGAGAAGUAGUUCUCAAAUUUUGCAACCUAGCUUGGAUGAGUUAAUACUCGGUAAAGAAUUGUGAAUAUUUUAUUAACUUACUGUAGUGGUGCAAAUAAAUUACGUUUCGGAGAUAAAAA
Pocillopora verrucosa is the source of this 4004-nucleotide non-coding RNA. The record is from RefSeq and is a predicted model, not a curated record. NCBI's taxonomy places the organism in Eukaryota, Metazoa, Cnidaria, Anthozoa, Scleractinia, Pocilloporidae.